UAUGAACGCUAGCUACAGGCUUAACACAUGCAAGUCGAGGGGCAGCACAGUGUAGCAAUACAUGGGUGGCGACCGGCGCACGGGUGCGUAACGCGUAUCCAACCUUCCCGUUACUCAGGGAUAGCCUUCCGAAAGGGAGAUUAAUACCUGAUGGUGUUCAAAUUCCGCAUGUUAUUUGAACUAAAGAUUUAUCGGUAACGGAUGGGGAUGCGUGACAUUAGGUAGAUGGCGGGGUAACGCCCACCAUGCCCACGAUGUCUAGGGGUUCUGAGAGGAAGGUCCCCCACACUGGAACUGAGACACGGUCCAGACUCCUACGGGAGGCAGCAGUGAGGAAUAUUGGGUCCAAUGGUCGGAAGACUGAACCAGCCAAGUAGCGUGAAGGAUGAAGGUUUUANGGAUUGUAAA
Molecule: ribosomal RNA, 408 nt
Filed under: uncultured bacterium
Lineage: Bacteria
Description: bacterial SSU rRNA
Rfam family: Bacterial small subunit ribosomal RNA
Source: RNAcentral